AGUACAGACGAGUUUGAUCAUGGCUCAGACGACGCUGGCGGCAGGCCUAACACAUGCAAGUCGAGCGCCCCGCAAGGGGAGCGGCGGACGGGUGAGUAACGCGUGGGAACGUACCCUUUGCUACGGAAUAGCCUCGGGAAACUGGGAGUAAUACCGUAUGUGCCCUUCGGGGGAAAGAUUUAUCGGCAAAGGAUCGGCCCGCGUUGGAUUAGGUAGUUGGUGGGGUAAUGGCCUACCAAGCCGACGAUCCAUAGCUGGUUUGAGAGGAUGAUCAGCCACACUGGGACUGAGACACGGCCCAGACUCCUACGGGAGGCAGCAGUGGGGAAUCUUAGACAAUGGGCGCAAGCCUGAUCUAGCCAUGCCGCGUGAGCGAUGAAGGCCUUAGGGUUGUAAAGCUCUUUCAGUGGGGAAGAUAAUGACUGUACCCACAGAAGAAGCCCCGGCUAACUCCGUG
Molecule: ribosomal RNA, 457 nt
Filed under: uncultured bacterium
Lineage: Bacteria
Description: bacterial SSU rRNA
Rfam family: Bacterial small subunit ribosomal RNA
Source: RNAcentral